Non-coding RNA from Gossypium hirsutum (cotton), 126 nucleotides. The record is from Rfam. Lineage: Eukaryota; Viridiplantae; Streptophyta; Magnoliopsida; Malvales; Malvaceae.
UGUUUAAAAUUUUAUUUAUUUCUACUGUUAAAAACUGUCAUAAUUGAUAGAAUAACGAGACAAAUACGCGUAACUUGUCAUAUGUACCUCACUCUAAUAUAGUAGAAAUGGAUGGAAUUUUUAACA